Molecule: non-coding RNA, 86 nt
Organism: Mucidula mucida
Lineage: Eukaryota; Fungi; Basidiomycota; Agaricomycetes; Agaricales; Physalacriaceae
Source: the annotation of a GenBank genome assembly
UCCCUCUUAGCUCAGUGGUAGAGCGCGUCACUAGUAUGCUGUAGGUGUCUAUGACGAGGUCAGUCGUUCAAGUCGGCUAGAGGGAA